UGCGUCCCUCGGCAUGGAGAACGCGCGCCCGGUCGGGCCGCGGGCGGGAAAGUGGGGUGUGCUUCUUGGCCGCCGGCACCAGCAAGAAAAGGGGGAGCACUGUCUGCUAGAACUAGAAGAAACCAAACCACCAGACGGAGGCGGAAGCCGCCGCAGUGAGUGGACUGCUCUGCUCUGCCGGGCCCUUCCAGAAGGAAGGGCACUACUCCGAUCAAAUAUCAAAGAACCCUACUACCCAGCAAGGAUAUAACAGAGACUUUGACCAUCCUCCCUUGGAAAUGAAAAAAAUCCUUGACCUUCUCAAGAAAAUUCGUAGAAAUGGAGCAACUGAUGACCUGGUUGAUUAUUAGGGUGUUGGGACUCAUGUGGAGAUUUGGAAUCCUUUGGGACUUGGGAAACCUUUGGAGCCUGGGAAUUAUGUGGGUCUUUAGUCAAUAUAUGGUCUGCAAUCUGAAGACAAUGGCAGUGGUGUAGCUGUGGCAAUGUUUUAUUCAAUGGGGAGCCUGGAGAUCAUGCCCUGGAGAAGGCUGACAAGUGUGGCCAGACCCAGCACCAGCAUCUAGGGCAAGUUUGAUUAGUUGUCUUUACUGCUACAGCUGAACUUGCCUGGAAGAAAUAGAGCUUCCAAGUAAUCUAAGCAGGAGGAGGCAAGGAGCUGAUUUGGCUGCAUAGUUGUACAAAGCGUAUUGAUUUGCACUGAAGAAUGUUUCUUUCUCUAGUGCUUUUCCUUGAAUGAAUCUUGCUUCCUUUUCCCUUAUUCUUCUCUGUAAAACAAGGAAUGCCUGAAUAAAUUGCUUUUAUUGGA
This is a long non-coding RNA of Hemicordylus capensis (graceful crag lizard), 805 nucleotides long. RefSeq lists it as uncharacterized. The transcript is spliced from 2 exons. The record is from RefSeq and is a predicted model, not a curated record. Lineage: Eukaryota; Metazoa; Chordata; Lepidosauria; Squamata; Cordylidae.